CCAAAUUAUCCAAAGAUUAUGAAAUCAGUUGAUGAGGUUCUUCAUCUUUCUCAUAUAUUUGGCCUUCAAGUGUGCGAACCUGGGCUUCUUCUGGUUGAAUUUGUCUUUUCAAUGGUGUGGCAGUUGCUUGAUGCAUCAUUGGAUGAUGAAGGAUUAUUGGAUCUUACCUCAGAAAAGAAGUCUAAAUGGCUAACCAGCUUGGAAGAUGUGGAAAUAGAUGGUAAUGAAACCUUUGCUGAGAAAAGAAAUGAGCUUCAUGAGGGGCUGCACAAAGCAAAUACUAUUAUGGCUAUUCAACUAAUUGGAGAGUUACUGCAAAACAAAGUAACUUCAAGGAUUUUGUACUUGGCACGACAAAACAUGCCGUCACACUGGCGGGGCCUUAUUCAGCGAGUGCGGCUGAUCGCAGCACAUUCAGCAGCCUUGAGGAAUUCAAAACAUCUAAAUGCAGAGAGACUUCUGCAGUUGACAUCUGAUACAGUACCGCUUUUGUCUCAAAACUGCAAAAACAUAUCACAGCAGAACUUUCAUGCUGUCAUGUCUUCUGGGGCUCUGAUAUCUUCUGCUGGUCAAUGCCAUGGGGCUAGUUGGUCUGUGCUUUGGCUUCCAAUUGAUCUUUUUCUAGAAGAUGCUAUGGAUGAUUCACAAGUCGCAGCAACCAGUGCUGUAGAAACUCUUACGGGUUUGGUAAAAGCUUUGCAAGCAGUUAAUGGUACCACAUGGCAUGAUACUUUUCUAGGUCUGUGGAUUGCGGCUUUACGGCUUGUUCAAAGGGUGGGGACUAAUUCCAACUUGUUAAAGAAAUUAAUCCUCUUUGGAUCAUUGCUUAGUUUGAUGUUGG
RNAcentral lists this unclassified non-coding RNA (841 nucleotides) under Hevea brasiliensis (rubber tree). The record is from RNAcentral. Lineage: Eukaryota; Viridiplantae; Streptophyta; Magnoliopsida; Malpighiales; Euphorbiaceae.